UCCUGUGCCGAAGCUCCUGAAAGUGGCGGAUGUCUGCGUCAUCCACUGCUUCUUCACACAGAUCCAGACUGAAGCCACUCAGAUCAGACAACUGCAGCUUCUCCACCGCAGGAACAUCUGAAUGAAACGCAUCAUCUCACAUUUACAUACUCGAGAGUGCUUUUUUUGUUUAGUGGGUUGUGGAGCAGUAAGGAAUCGCGGAACAACUCCCCUGAAAACCCCAGCAGAAGUUUUCUGGAGGUCCCAGGACUCCAGUUUGAAAAGUUCUAGAAAACCUAGACAUGUGUACUCACCCAGUUCUGGCGGUAGUUCAGUUAUUGGGUUGCCCUCCAAAACUAUACACACUCACCUAUGAUGGCCAACACCUGCAGGGAGAUUUGUGAGUUCGUUAUGUCUCAAAUCCAACCACACUAAAGAUGGCAGAGAGCUGAAGAAGUGCUCAGGAAGACGAGUGAAUUCAUUACCUUCCAGAUAUAAACUCUACAACAUACACAUCAGAGGAAACACGCAAUAAAGUGCAUCAGAGAUCAGAUUGGAUCGGACCGGAUCAUCAGUGUUGAUCAGAGAUGCUCGUGUUUUAGAGGCAUCACGCAUCAGUUUCAGUGGGACUGAAAGGAAUGAGAUCAGAUCAUCAAUGUUUCACUGGGGCAAGUGGAAGAAGAGGAUGGGCGCCAACAGUUCGUCCAAGAGACCGGUGUUCGACGACAAAGAGGAUGGUCAGUCUCAACAUCAGCAUCACUGUUAAUGCACGAACACACUGAUGCACUGCACAUGUAUGUGAUGUGUGUAUUACACAAACUGCAGUUUGGCUUGAUGAACUCUCAUAAUCAUAUUUAAUUUCACUCAUAGUUUAUAAACUGUAGUCAUCUGCAGACACAAAUACACAGAAUAGUUUCUAUUUCUCUCGAUGGGAUUUGCCUCUCUCAGUUAGGUGUGUGUCAAAUGAAAUGCUCGUGUGAUCCUAAAGAUCUAAACAUGCUUGUUUGUAUUCUCGUGCAUUUCUGCUUUAUCUGUGAAACGGUCUGUGACGGUUUUAUUCUAGAAAGCCAGACUGUAAAACGGAGAUGUGUAUAGGAAUCGCUGCUGUCGUAUUGUCUGUCAAACUUGCUUUUGUUGAAAAUACACAGCCAGAAAAAUGUUCCAUCUUUUGUCUGUCACCUCUUUAGGACGCAUUACAUUUCAAAUCCAAUUACUGCUGCCAAACACAGGUUUUCAGGAAUAAAAAUCAGCCAAUUAAAAUCAUGUGCCGUUUAAUUGGCUCAUUAGCGAGGAUUUGAGGAAUCCGGGGGAAUUAUACCGCAGUAUUACAGCACUGACAUGAAUUCAACUGGAACUCUUUUUUUUUUGGCAGAUGAGUUGAUCUGAUGAAACCUGAUGAGUUAUUUCAUACGAUAAAACCUGAAGGACUGUGCUGGGCGUCUCAUGAUGACCCAGUAUGGACUGAAAUCACUUUAGCGCUUCUGUAAUGAAGGUGAAAAAUAUUACUGUUAUGUGCGGCCGUCUUUUAUUUACAGGACAAUGAGAAGUCAGGGAUUCAUUAGCGGGCGAAGUUCAUGUUUCAUGUCAAUGAUUUCAGUUAAGAAGUCAGAUGCUUCAUACAAUCGGAUGAAACGCUGAGAACUGAUCCGUAACACUUGACAGUAUUGUUUUGUAUUAGAUCAUGCAUAGCUGUCACAUACUUUUACAGAAGAUAUUCAUCUUGAUAAAGUUCUGCAUAACAUUUUAAUAUUAAAGGUUGUGCGCAUUAACAUCAGGUAAUGUGUUUAAAAAAGAAUAAUAGUCAAAUUAUAAAUGAGCAUUAACCAGGUUGAAUAAACGUAAAAUAAUUGUUAGUGAAUUCAUUUCACUAAUGUUGAGAUAUAUUGUAAGGGGAUAAUAUUAUUAAGCUCAGUAAUUCUUUAUGAAUGACAUCAGGUUGAAUUUCUCUGCCCGUCUGCUUUCUCACCACCGCUCCAGAAGAUUCUCACAUUUAUAAUCGAUGUGUUAUUUCUGCAGGAGCGGUGGGUUUCUGUGACGUCAUGCACACGGCCUCUUUGAUGCUGUGUAGACAAAACCGGUUCCUCCUCAUGACACACACAUGAAAGAGAGAGCGAGAGAGAGAGAGAGAGAGUUGUGCUCGACUUGUGUGUUCUGCUGGUUUGAGUCAUAACGAGAAACGUAUUCUGCCAAACACGUGUUGUGAUUUAUUUUGUUAAACAAAGAGAUGGUUAUAACACUAUUCUAUACGAUAUGUUUAAUGCAUUUACAGUAGGAACAGUACACUCAAAAAUGAUUAUCAUUUAUUUAUCUAUCAUCAUGUCAAACCUGUAUGAGUUUAUUUCUUCUUCAGAAGACAAAAGAAGAUAUUUUGAAGAAUGUUGAUAGUCAAACAACGCUGAACUCCAUUGACUUCCAUUGUUAUGAACACAAAACCAUUGAGGCAUUUCUCGAAAUAUCUUCUUUUGUGUUCCACUGAAGAAAGACUCACGUACAGGUUUAUGACCACACGCGAGUAAAAAUGAUGAGAGAAUUCCCUUUAAGUGCAUGUGACAGCAGAGAUUAUCAGUGAAUAAUGACUUAUACUUGGGUUUGUUCCUCACACCUGCGCUCACUUCACCUGUCACACAGAAUAGAGCUGCGCAAAUUCCUCCUUUGGCGUGCGACAGAAAAACAUCCUAUUGGUUUGAAACAACAUGUUUGUGAGUUAAUGGUGAUAAUAAAAGGAUUCAUUUCUCUGAUGAACUACAGCUUUAAUGUGAAUCAACUGCACGUGCGAGUGUUGAGAGAUUAGCGCUCGCUCGGAACAAACAGCGGAUGACAUCAUGGCGCAGGACAUUAUGUUAGAAGAGCAGAAGCUCGUGUUGACCUGGUUAAAGGCAUGAUGUGUAGACUGACGCUCCCUGCGGCUGCAUCACUCACUGUAGACCCCUCACAUCUUAUUGAAAUCAAACACGCAUGAGCCGAGACACAAUACUUCACUGUAACAUCUUUAAUAACGCUGCAGAUCUCUCCGCUGCUGUAGUAAGUGCUUCCUUCACCUCUCAUGUCUCGUUGCUCUCUUGACAUGAAUAAUAGAUCAGGGUGAAGAUGCAGAGCUAUGUGAUGGAGUUUGUUGACAGUAUAUGACUGU
Molecule: long non-coding RNA, 3109 nt
Organism: Triplophysa rosa
Lineage: Eukaryota; Metazoa; Chordata; Actinopteri; Cypriniformes; Nemacheilidae
Exons: 5
Source: RefSeq, a predicted model, not a curated record